CCUGGCGGCCUUAGCGCGGUGGUCCCACCUGACCCCAUGCCGAACUCAGUGAAACGCCGUAGCGCCGAUGGUAUUGUGCCGGGUCUCCCCAUGCGAAGAGCUGAUGAGGAACUGCCAGGC
Molecule: ribosomal RNA, 120 nt
Filed under: Escherichia coli
Lineage: Bacteria; Pseudomonadati; Pseudomonadota; Gammaproteobacteria; Enterobacterales; Enterobacteriaceae
Source: RNAcentral